GGAAUCUUGCACAAUGGAGGAAACUCUGAUGCAGCGAUGCCGCGUGAGUGAAGAAGGCCUUUGGGUUGUAAAGCUCUUUUGUAGGGGAAGAUAAUGACUGUACCCUAAGAAUAAGGUCCGGCUAACUUCGUGCCAGCAGCCGCGGUAAUACGAAGGGACCUAGCGUAGUUCGGAAUUACUGGGCGUAAAGCGCGCGUAGGCCGUUGAGUUAGUUAAUUGUGAAAUCCCAAAGCUUAACUUUGGAACUGCAAUUAAAACUGCUCGACUAGAGUUUGAUAGAGGAAAGCGGAAUACAUAGUGUAGAGGUGAAAUUCGUAGAUAUUAUGUAGAACACCAGUUGCGAAGGCGGCUUUCUGGAUCAACACUGACGCUGAGGCGCGAAAGUAUGGGUAGCAAAGAGGAUUAGAUACCCUCGUAGUCCAUACCAUAAACGAUGAUUGCUAGAUGUUGGAAAUUUAUUUUCAGUAUCGCAGCUAACGCAUUAAGCAAUCCGCCUGGGGAGUACGACCGCAAGGUUAAAACUCAAAUGAAUUGACAA
This 538-nucleotide ribosomal RNA is filed under the name uncultured bacterium. RNAcentral's name for it is "bacterial SSU rRNA". It matches the Rfam family "Bacterial small subunit ribosomal RNA", at positions 358 to 916 of the family's 1533-position model. The record is from RNAcentral.